UCAGCCUGUAAACAGUAUCAGGUCUCGCCCAU
RNAcentral lists this non-coding RNA (32 nucleotides) under Homo sapiens (human). The record is from RNAcentral. Lineage: Eukaryota; Metazoa; Chordata; Mammalia; Primates; Hominidae.